UUUCUUCCUGGCAGGGGAGAUACCAUGAUCACGAAGAUGGUCUUCCCAGGGUGAGGUCUAUCCUUUGAACUCCGGAUAUGCUGACCCUGCGAUUUCCCCAAAUGUGGGAAACUCGACUGCGUAAUUUGUGGUAGUGGGGGACGGUGUUCAUGCUUUCCCCUA
Small nuclear RNA from Tupaia belangeri (northern tree shrew), 162 nucleotides. Its record names the gene U1. It matches the Rfam family "U1 spliceosomal RNA". From Rfam's summary of the family: U1 is a small nuclear RNA (snRNA) component of the spliceosome (involved in pre-mRNA splicing). The record is from Ensembl. Lineage: Eukaryota; Metazoa; Chordata; Mammalia; Scandentia; Tupaiidae.